CCUACGGGAGGCAGCAGUGAGGAAUAUUGGUCAAUGGUCGGGAGACUGAACCAGCCAAGCCGCGUGAGGGAGGAAGGUACAGAGUAUCGUAAACCUCUUUUGUCAGGGAACAAAGGCGGGGACGUGUCCCCGGAUGCGUGUACCCGAAGAAAAAGCAUCGGCUAACUCCGUGCCAGCAGCCGCGGUAAUACGGAGGAUGCGAGCGUUAUCCGGAUUUAAUGGGUUUAAAGGGAGAGGAGGCGGCAGUGUAAGUCAGCGGUCAAAGCCCCGGGCUCAACCCCGGGCACGCGUUGGAAACUGGCAGUCUAGAGUGGGGGAGAGGUAUGCGGAAUGCGCGGUGUAGCGGUGAAAUGCAUAGAUA
This 361-nucleotide ribosomal RNA is filed under the name uncultured bacterium. RNAcentral's name for it is "partial 16S ribosomal RNA". It matches the Rfam family "Bacterial small subunit ribosomal RNA", at positions 338 to 696 of the family's 1533-position model. The record is from RNAcentral.